GCUUACCAUGCAGUCGAACGAUGAUGCCCAGCUUGCUGGGUGGAUUAGUGGCGAACGGGUGAGUAACACGUGAGUAACCUGCCCCUGACUCUGGGAUAAGCGUUGGAAACGACGUCUAAUACUGGAUAUGAUCACUGGCCGCAUGGUCUGGUGGUGGAAAGAUUUUUUGGUUGGGGAUGGACUCGCGGCCUAUCAGCUUGUUGGUGAGGUAAUGGCUCACCAAGGCGACGACGGGUAGCCGGCCUGAGAGGGUGACCGGCCACACUGGGACUGAGACACGGCCCAGACUCCUACGGGAGGCAGCAGUGGGGAAUAUUGCACAAUGGGCGAAAGCCUGAUGCAGCAACGCCGCGUGAGGGAUGACGGCCUUCGGGUUGUAAACCUCUUUUAGUAGGGAAGAAGCGAAAGUGACGGUACCUGCAGAAAAAGCACCGGCUAACUACGUGCCAGCAGCCGCGGUAAUACGUAGGGUGCAAGCGUUGUCCGGAAUUAUUGGGCGUAAAGAGCUCGUAGGCGGUUUGUCGCGUCUGCUGUGAAAUCCCGAGGCUCAACCUCGGGCUUGCAGUGGGUACGGGCAGACUAGAGUGCGGUAGGGGAGAUUGGAAUUCCUGGUGUAGCGGUGGAAUGCGCAGAUAUCAGGAGGAACACCGAUGGCGAAGGCAGAUCUCUGGGCCGUAACUGACGCUGAGGAGCGAAAGCAUGGGGGAGCGAACAGGAUUAGAUACCCUGGUAGUCCAUGCCGUAAACGUUGGGCGCUAGAUGUAGGGACCUUUCCACGGUUUCUGUGUCGUAGCUAACGCAUUAAGCGCCCCGCCUGGGGAGUACGGCCGCAAGGCUAAAACUCAAAGGAAUUGACGGGGGCCCGCACAAGCGGCGGAGCAUGCGGAUUAAUUCGAUGCAACGCGAAGAACCUUACCAAGGCUUGACAUACACCGGAAACGGCCAGAGAUGGUCGCCCCCUUGUGGUCGGUGUACAGGUGGUGCAUGGUUGUCGUCAGCUCGUGUCGUGAGAUGUUGGGUUAAGUCCCGCAACGAGCGCAACCCUCGUUCUAUGUUGCCAGCGGGUUAUGCCGGGGACUCAUAGGAGACUGCCGGGGUCAACUCGGAGGAAGGUGGGGAUGACGUCAAAUCAUCAUGCCCCUUAUGUCUUGGGCUUCACGCAUGCUACAAUGGCCGGUACAAAGGGCUGCGAUACCGUAAGGUGGAGCGAAUCCCAAAAAGCCGGUCUCAGUUCGGAUUGAGGUCUGCAACUCGACCUCAUGAAGUCGGAGUCGCUAGUAAUCGCAGAUCAGCAACGCUGCGGUGAAUACGUUCCCGGGCCUUGUACACACCGCCCGUCAAGUCAUGAAAGUCGGUAACACCCGAAGCCGGUGGCCUAACCCUUGUGGUAA
Molecule: ribosomal RNA, 1391 nt
Filed under: Curtobacterium sp. GX11
Lineage: Bacteria; Bacillati; Actinomycetota; Actinomycetes; Micrococcales; Microbacteriaceae
Also listed under: 1 other name
Description: bacterial SSU rRNA
Rfam family: Bacterial small subunit ribosomal RNA
Source: RNAcentral